UGCAAGUCGAGCGAAGUAAGUUCAGAUGAAAUUUUCGGAUGGAAUUUGAAUUUAUCUUAGCGGCGGACGGGUGAGUAACGCGUGAGGAACCUGCCUUCCACAAAGGGAUAGCCUCGGGAAACUGGGAUUAAUACCUUAUGACACUAAUAUAUCGCAUGGUAUAUAAGUUAAAGCGUAAAGCGGUGGAAGAUGGUCUCGCGUCCCAUUAGCUAGUUGGUGAGGUAACGGCUCACCAAGGCUGCGAUGGGUAGCCGGCCUGAGAGGGUGAACGGCCACACUGGAACUGAGACACGGUCCAGACUCCUACGGGAGGCAGCAGUGGGGAAUAUUGCACAAUGGAGGAAACUCUGAUGCAGCGACGCCGCGUGAACGAUGAAGGCCUUCGGGUCGUAAAGUUCUGUCCUUGGGGACGAUAAUGACGGUACCCAAGGAGGAAGCCCCGGCUAACUACGUGCCAGCAGCCGCGGUAAUACGUAGGGGGCGAGCGUUGUCCGGAAUUAUUGGGCGUAAAGGGUUCGCAGGCGGUCCUUUAAGUCAGAUGUGAAAGACAUAGGCUUAACCUAUGUAAGCAUUUGAAACUGAAGGACUUGAGUUAAGGAGAGGAAAGUGGAAUUCCUAGUGUAGCGGUGAAAUGCGUAGAUAUUAGGAGGAAUACCAGUGGCGAAGGCGACUUUCUGGACUUAUACUGACGCUGAGGAACGAAAGCGUGGGGAGCAAACAGGAUUAGAUACCCUGGUAGUCCACGCCGUAAACGAUGAGUGCUAGGUGUUGGUGGGAGACCAUCGGUGCCGCAGCUAACGCAUUAAGCACUCCGCCUGG
This 819-nucleotide ribosomal RNA is filed under the name uncultured Tissierella sp. RNAcentral's name for it is "bacterial SSU rRNA". It matches the Rfam family "Bacterial small subunit ribosomal RNA", at positions 56 to 876 of the family's 1533-position model. Lineage: Bacteria; Bacillati; Bacillota; Tissierellia; Tissierellales; Tissierellaceae. The record is from RNAcentral.